RNAcentral lists this ribosomal RNA (440 nucleotides) under uncultured bacterium. Its description in RNAcentral is "bacterial SSU rRNA". It matches the Rfam family "Bacterial small subunit ribosomal RNA", at positions 30 to 504 of the family's 1533-position model. The record is from RNAcentral.
CGAACGCUGGCGGCAGGCUUAACACAUGCAAGUCGCAGGAGAAGGUAGACUUCGGUUUACCGGGCACUGGCGGACGGGUGAGUAACGCGUGGGGAUCUGCCUCGGAGUGGGGGACAACCGCUGGAAACGGCGGCUAAUACCGCAUACGCCCUUAGGGGGAAAACUCCGGUGCUCUGAGAUGAUCCCGCGUCGGAUUAGCUAGUUGGUGGGGUAACGGCCUACCAAGGCGACGAUCCGUAGCUGGUCUGAGAGGAUGACCAGCCACACUGGAACUGAGACACGGUCCAGACUCCUACGGGAGGCAGCAGUGGGGAAUAUUGGACAAUGGGGGCAACCCUGAUCCAGCCAUGCCGCGUGGGUGAAGAAGGCCUUAGGGUUGUAAAACCCUUUCAGCGGGGAAGAUGAUGACGGUACCCGCAGAAGAAGCCCCGGCUAACUCC